CUGGCGGCAUGCCUAACACAUGCAAGUCGAACGGAAACGAUGGGAGCUUGCUCCCAGGCGUCGAGUGGCGGACGGGUGAGUAAUACUUAGGAAUCUGCCCAGUAGUGGGGGACAACUCGGGGAAACUCGAGCUAAUACCGCAUACGACCUACGGGUGAAAGUGGGGGCUCUUCGGACCUCACGCUAUUGGAUGAGCCUAAGUCGGAUUAGCUUGAUGGUAGGGUAAAGGCCUACCAUGGCGACGAUCCGUAGCUGGUCUGAGAGGACGAUCAGCCACACUGGGACUGAGACACGGCCCAGACUCCUACGGGAGGCAGCAGUGGGGAAUAUUGGACAAUGGGGGCAACCCUGAUCCAGCAAUGCCGCGUGUGUGAAGAAGGCCUGCGGGUUGUAAAGCACUUUCAGUAGAGAAGAAAAGCCUAGGGUUAAUACCCCUGAGUCUUGACGUAACCUACAGAAGAAGCACCGGCUAACUCCGUGCCAGCAGCCGCGGUAAU
This 497-nucleotide ribosomal RNA is filed under the name uncultured bacterium. Its description in RNAcentral is "bacterial SSU rRNA". It matches the Rfam family "Bacterial small subunit ribosomal RNA", at positions 36 to 524 of the family's 1533-position model. The record is from RNAcentral.